Molecule: ribosomal RNA, 551 nt
Filed under: uncultured Acaulospora
Lineage: Eukaryota; Fungi; Glomeromycota; Glomeromycetes; Diversisporales; Acaulosporaceae
Description: SSU rRNA
Rfam family: Eukaryotic small subunit ribosomal RNA
Source: RNAcentral
UUGGAGGGCAAGUCUGGUGCCAGCAGCCGCGGUAAUUCCAGCUCCAAUAGCGUAUAUUAAAGUUGUUGCAGUUAAAAAGCUCGUAGUUGAAUUUCGGGAUUUGUCGGUUGGUCGGGCUUCACUGUCCGCACUGGCCUGAUGGAUUCCUACCUUCUGAACAACCAGCAUGCUAUUAAGUUAGUGCGUUGGGGAAGCAGAGCUAUUACCUUGAAAAAAUUAGAGUGCUUAAAGCAGGCUUGUGCUUGAAUAGAUUAGCAUGGAAUAAUAAAAUAGGACGGCAUGGUUCUAUUUUGUUGGUUUCUAGAAUCACCGUAAUGAUUAAUAGGGAUAGUUGGGGGCAUUAGUAUUCAAUUGUCAGAGGUGAAAUUCUUGGAUUUAUUGAAGACUAACUUCUGCGAAAGCAUUUGCCAAGGAUGUUUUCAUUAAUCAAGAACGAAAGUUAGGGGAUCGAAGACGAUCAGAUACCGUCGUAGUCUUAACCAUAAACUAUGCCGACUAGGGAUCGGACGAUGUUAAUUUUUUAAUGACUCGUUCGGCGCCUUACGGGAAAC